Talpa occidentalis (Iberian mole) is the source of this 1728-nucleotide long non-coding RNA. RefSeq lists it as uncharacterized. The record is from RefSeq and is a predicted model, not a curated record. Lineage: Eukaryota; Metazoa; Chordata; Mammalia; Eulipotyphla; Talpidae. The transcript has 3 exons.
UUUAAAGUUGCUUGUUGGUUUUGAUUUUUACUUUAUUAUAGUUAUUCUUUUUCCUGGUCCCUUAUUUAGGGUUUCUAGAUUCCUGCUAUGAGUGAGACCAUCCGGUAUUUUUCUUUCUGGCUUAUUUUGCUGAGCAUGAUCCCUUCCAGCGCCAUCCAUGUUGCUGCAAACUGCAUAUGUUUAUCUUUUUUGAAUGCUGAGUAAUAUUCCAUGGUGCAUAUGGACCACAUCUUCUUGACCAGUCAUCUAUUUUUGGGCAUUUGGGCGGUUUCCAAAGCUUAGCUAUUGUAAACAGUGCUGCUCUAAACAUAGGGGUGCAGGUGCCCUUUGGAAUGGAUGUUUCUGUGUCCUUUGGGUAAAUACCUAGGAGUGGAAUUGCUGGAUCCUAUGGAAGCUCCAUCUUUAGCAGGUUGACCCAAAGCAGUGAGAGUGAAGGCAAAGAUAAACAGCUGGGACUACAUCAAACUAAAGAGCUUCUGCACAGCAAAAGAGACAGUAACCAUAACAAAGAGACACCCCACCGACUGGACUGGGAGAACAUUUUUGCACACAACACUGAUGAUAAAGGACUGAUCACAAAAAUCUACAAAGAGCUGAAGACACUCAACAAAAAGAACGUAAAUAAUCCAGUCAAAAAAUGGGCAGAAGAGCUAAAAAGAAAUUUCUCCAAAGAGGAAAUGCAAAUGGCCAACAGGCAUAUGAAAAAAUGUUCAACAUCACUUGCAAUCAGGGAAAUGCAAAUCAAAACUACCAUGAGAUACCAUCUCACACCAGUGAGAAUGGCACAUAUUAAAAAAACUAGCAACAACAAAUGUUGGCGAGGGUGUGGAGAAAAAGGAACCCUCCUGCACUGCUGGUGGGAGUACACACUGGUCCCACCACGACGGAGAGCUGUGUGGAGGCUCCUCAACCUGCUAAAGAGACUCGGGCUUUAAGGUCACCUUCUAAUGUGCGUGCCGUGUAACCAGAGCGUCGGAGGAAGAGCUAAACUGUGAAUUCUAACAUCAUGUGUAGGACAUAGUUGAAAUGGCCCCAAGGGCCCCGGGGUCAGGACUGGUCAUCGUGGACGUGUCGCCCAGCUUCCCGGGACUCAGUUUCCGGUGUGUGAAGGAGCAGUAAUUACAGAGCCUGUGGGGGAGGCUGAGAUGGCAAUGUGAGAAAGUGCCCUGAGCAAAAAGCCUGGUCAGGCUGCCGUGAUUACAGCCCUGCUGUUAAUUUCUCCGUGUGGAAGCGCAACUGCUAACAGCAGCGUCCGGGGCCGGGAAAGCACUAUCUGUAAGAUUUGUGAGGAGCUGAGAAGAUGAAAGGGCUCUCAGCGGCGUCUUCCCAGGAGUCAGAUCUGAUCCCAGGAGUGACUCUUCAUCUGAGAGGACUUGCAUCUGCUUGACAAACCGCAGCCAACAGAGCUUGUUUACGAUUUCCAGGUGUCUCCACCAGGAUCCUCUCUUCAUCCAUGUGGGCCUUACUGAACGUAUCCUGCUUGGCCGCCUCCCUGGUGGCGCAAGGGGUUAAGCGUCAGCGCUGUGAAGCUGGCCACAGCCUCUGCAGCCUGAGUUCGAUCCCCGGCCAGGGACACACCCAUGUGGUGCAGCAGACCUCUCCUGAGUGACUCGCCUGCUGCUCCCCUCAGCAGUGGAUUUCAGUGCAUCCGCCUGUUCUGCUCCCCACUCUGUCUCUGGGGAGUCCUCUCACCCCCAAACCUCUGGUCUACACCCUGGCUCUUGCAUG